UACGGAGGGUGCAAGCGUUGUCCGGAAUCACUGGGCGUAAAGAGCUCGUAGGCGGUUUGUCGCGUCGAAUGUGAAAACCCGGGGCUCAACCCCGGGCCUGCAUUCGAUACGGGCAGACUAGAGUUCGGUAGGGGAGUCUGGAAUUCCUGGUGUAGCGGUGAAAUGCGCAGAUAUCAGGAGGAACACCGAUGGCGAAGGCAGGUCUCUGGGCCACUACUGACGCUGAGAAGCGAAAGCAUGGGGAGCAAACAGG
RNAcentral lists this ribosomal RNA (253 nucleotides) under uncultured bacterium. RNAcentral describes it as "partial 16S ribosomal RNA". It matches the Rfam family "Bacterial small subunit ribosomal RNA", at positions 524 to 776 of the family's 1533-position model. The record is from RNAcentral.